This 67-nucleotide transfer RNA is filed under the name Nomada flava. RNAcentral describes it as "tRNA-Pro". The record is from RNAcentral. Lineage: Eukaryota; Metazoa; Arthropoda; Insecta; Hymenoptera; Apidae.
CAAAAAGUAGUUUAAUAAAAACAAUAAUUUUGGGAAUUAUAAAUAUUUAUUUAAUAUUUUUUUUUGA